This 253-nucleotide ribosomal RNA is filed under the name uncultured bacterium. Its description in RNAcentral is "partial 16S ribosomal RNA". It matches the Rfam family "Bacterial small subunit ribosomal RNA", at positions 524 to 776 of the family's 1533-position model. The record is from RNAcentral.
UACGUAGGGGGCAAGCGUUGUCCGGAUUUAUUGGGCGUAAAGAGCGUGUAGGCGGCUAGGUAGGUCCGUUGUGAAAACUCGAGGCUCAACCUCGAGACGCCGAUGGAAACCAUCUAGCUAGAGUCCGGAAGAGGAGAGUGGAAUUCCUGGUGUAGCGGUGAAAUGCGCAGAUAUCGGGAGGAACACCAAUUGCGAAGGCAGCUCGCUGGGACGUAACUGACGCUGAGACGCGAAAGCGUGGAGAGCAAACAGG